GCCGGUAUAGCUCAGUCGGUAGAGCAACUGACUUGUAAUCAGUAGGUCCCGAGUUCGAUUCUUGGUGCCGGCACCA
Molecule: transfer RNA, 76 nt
Filed under: Pseudomonas sp. StFLB209
Lineage: Bacteria; Pseudomonadati; Pseudomonadota; Gammaproteobacteria; Pseudomonadales; Pseudomonadaceae
Also listed under: 3 other names
Description: tRNA-Thr (TGT) (tRNA-Thr-TGT-1-1)
Rfam family: tRNA
About the family: Transfer RNA (tRNA) molecules are approximately 80 nucleotides in length. Their secondary structure includes four short double-helical elements and three loops (D, anti-codon, and T loops). Further hydrogen bonds mediate the characteristic L-shaped molecular structure. tRNAs have two regions of fundamental functional importance: the anti-codon, which is responsible for specific mRNA codon recognition, and the 3' end, to which the tRNAs corresponding amino acid is attached (by aminoacyl-tRNA synthetases). tRNAs cope with the degeneracy of the genetic code in two manners: having more than one tRNA (with a specific anti-codon) for a particular amino acid; and 'wobble' base-pairing, i.e. permitting non-standard base-pairing at the 3rd anti-codon position.
Source: RNAcentral